CUUAUCCUUUGUUGCCAGCGGUCCGGCCGGGAACUCAAAGGAGACUGCCAGUGAUAAACUGGAGGAAGGUGGGGAUGACGUCAAGUCAUCAUGGCCCUUACGACCAGGGCUACACACGUGCUACAAUGGCGCAUACAAAGAGAAGCGACCUCGCGAGAGCAAGCGGACCUCAUAAAGUGCGUCGUAGUCCGGAUUGGAGUCUGCAACUCGACUCCAUGAAGUCGGAAUCGCUAGUAAUCGUGGAUCAGAAUGCCACGGUGAAUACGUUCCCGGGCCUUGUACACACCGCCCGUCACACCAUGGGAGUGGGUUGCAAAAGAAGUAGGUAGCUUAACCUUCGGGAGGGCGCUUACCACUUUGUGAUUCAUGACUGGGGUGAAGUCGUAACAAGGUAACCGUAGGGGAACCUGCGGUUGGAUCACCUCCUUA
This 429-nucleotide ribosomal RNA is filed under the name Escherichia coli. Its description in RNAcentral is "bacterial SSU rRNA". It matches the Rfam family "Bacterial small subunit ribosomal RNA", at positions 1104 to 1533 of the family's 1533-position model. The record is from RNAcentral. Lineage: Bacteria; Pseudomonadati; Pseudomonadota; Gammaproteobacteria; Enterobacterales; Enterobacteriaceae. RNAcentral also lists the same sequence under 3 other names.